This 29-nucleotide non-coding RNA is filed under the name Homo sapiens (human). Lineage: Eukaryota; Metazoa; Chordata; Mammalia; Primates; Hominidae. The record is from RNAcentral.
UUGCAAUGGGUUUGCAAACUGUGUGUUGC